CCUACGGGGUGCAGCAGGCGCGAAAACUUUACAAUGCGGGAAACCGUGAUAAGGGAACUCCGAGUGUCCGUAAAUGCGGACUGUCCGUCUGUUUAAAAAGCAGGCGAAGAAAGGGCCGGGCAAGACCGGUGCCAGCCGCCGCGGUAAUACCGGCGGCUCGAGUGGUGGCCACUAUUACUGGGCUUAAAGCGUUCGUAGCUGGGUCGUUAAGUCUCUUGGGAAAUCUACCGGCUUAACCGAUAGGCGUCCAAGGGAUACUGGCGAUCUAGGGACCGGGAGAGGUGAGGGGUACUUCAGGGGUAGGAGUGAAAUCCUGUAAUCCUUGGGGGACCACCUGUGGCGAAGGCGCCUCACCAGAACGGCUCCGACAGUGAGGGACGAAAGCUGGGGGAGCAAACCGGAUUAGAUACCCGGGUAGUCC
This 421-nucleotide ribosomal RNA is filed under the name uncultured Methanomicrobiales archaeon. RNAcentral's name for it is "bacterial SSU rRNA". It matches the Rfam family "Archaeal small subunit ribosomal RNA", at positions 322 to 747 of the family's 1478-position model. The record is from RNAcentral. Lineage: Archaea; Methanobacteriati; Methanobacteriota; Methanomicrobia; Methanomicrobiales.